CAGCUUCAGCAGAGGACAAAGAAACCAUUGGCUGCUUUUUGGAUUUCCAAGUAAUAAGCUACCACCCAAAAGUACACAAAAACCAGUAACAUACCUGCGAGUAUCAGGACAGGAAGCCCAAUCACUGUCAGAAUAUGCAUGUAUGGAGAAAUCAGAAGUGGCAGAAUAGAAAAGACCCAAAUACAUAGUGCCCUUAAGAUAUCUGAGGACAUGUAGGGUAGCAGUCAUAUGUGGAAUUGUGGGACACUUCAAAAACUGACUUAGAUGUUGAACAGCAAAGCAGAUGUCAGGCCUGGUGGGGUAAAAAAUAAGAGCUUACCAAUGAGGCUCCUAUAUUGAUCAGGGGAGGAGAAGGGGUCACCAUAAUCAACAUGGAGUUUGACAUUAAGAUCCAAAGGACAAACAACAUGAGAGACAUUCAUACAGUCAAAUUGAUGCAGCAGGUCAGAGACAUAUUUGUGCUGAUUAAGAUGCAUACCACCAGGUACAACAGACAUCUCAAUGCCCAGGAAAUAAUGCAAAGACCUAAGGUCUUUAAUCCUGAACUGAUCAUCCAGAAAAAGUUUCAAGGCAGAAAGCUCAUCAUUGUAACCAGGAACAACAGACAUCUCAAUGCCUAGGAAAUAAUGCAAAGACUCAAGGUCUUUAAUCUUGAACUGGUCAUCUAGAAAACGUUUCAGGGCAGAAAGCUCAUCAUUGUCAUUCCCAGUAAUAAUAAUAUCAUCCACAUAGACUG
This 736-nucleotide long non-coding RNA is filed under the name Nicotiana benthamiana. RNAcentral describes it as "long non-coding RNA (NBEN_LNC013021)". Lineage: Eukaryota; Viridiplantae; Streptophyta; Magnoliopsida; Solanales; Solanaceae. The record is from RNAcentral.